AAUGGGCGAAAGCCUGACGCAGCAACACCGCGUGGAGGAUGAAGGCUUUCGAGUCGUAAACUCCUUUUCUGAGGGAAUAGAUAGGAAGGUACCUCAGGAAUAAGUAUCGGCUAACUACGUGCCAGCAGCCGCGGUAAAACGUGGGAUGCGAGCGUUAUCCGGAUUUAUUGGGCGUAAAGCGCAUGCAGGCGGUUUUUUAAGUCGGACGUGAAAGCUCCUGGCUCAACUAGGAGAGGCCGUUGAAACUGGAAAACUUGAGGAUGGUAGAGGUAAGUGGAAUUCCCGGUGUAGUGGUGAAAUGCGUAGAUAUCGGGAGGAACCCAGUGGCGAAGGCGGCUUACUGGGCCAUUCCUGACGCUCAGAUGCGAAAGCUAGGGGAGAGAACGGGAUU
RNAcentral lists this ribosomal RNA (391 nucleotides) under uncultured Chloroflexota bacterium. RNAcentral's name for it is "bacterial SSU rRNA". It matches the Rfam family "Bacterial small subunit ribosomal RNA", at positions 370 to 779 of the family's 1533-position model. Lineage: Bacteria; Bacillati; Chloroflexota. The record is from RNAcentral.